CGGACGGGUGAGUAAUGUCUGGGAAACUGCCUGAUGGAGGGGGAUAACUACUGGAAACGGUAGCUAAUACCGCAUAACGUCGCAAGACCAAAGAGGGGGACCUUAGGGCCUCUUGCCAUCGGAUGUGCCCAGAUGGGAUUAGCUAGUAGGUGGGGUAACGGCUCACCUAGGCGGCGAUCCCUAGCUGGUCUGAGAGGAUGACCAGCCACACUGGAACUGAGACACGGUCCAG
RNAcentral lists this ribosomal RNA (232 nucleotides) under uncultured bacterium. RNAcentral's name for it is "partial 16S ribosomal RNA". It matches the Rfam family "Bacterial small subunit ribosomal RNA", at positions 99 to 334 of the family's 1533-position model. The record is from RNAcentral.